Molecule: ribosomal RNA, 511 nt
Filed under: uncultured bacterium
Lineage: Bacteria
Description: bacterial SSU rRNA
Rfam family: Bacterial small subunit ribosomal RNA
Source: RNAcentral
AACGAACGCUGGCGGCAGGCCUCAUACAUGCAAGUCGAGCGAUUAAGACUCCUUCGGGAGUGUAUAAAGCGGCGAACGGGUGAGUAACAGGUGGAUGAUCUACCUUCCGGUGGGGGAUAACGGCUGGAAACGGCCGCUAAUACCGCAUUCGGUUAAUACGCUGUGGCGUAUUAAAGAAAGGCGCCUCAAAGCGCCGCCGGGAGAUGAGUCCGCCCCCCAUUAGCUAGUUGGUGAGAUAACAGCUCACCAAGGCAACGAUGGGUAGCCGAACUGAGAGGUUGAUCGGCCACACUGGAACUGAGACACGGUCCAGACACCUACGGGUGGCAGCAGUAGGGAAUAUUGGGCAAUGGGCGAAAGCCUGACCCAGCCAUGCCGCGUGAGUGAUGAAGGUCCUAGAGACCUUGUAAAACUCUUUUCUGAGGAAAGAAUGAAUAGGGAAGGAAAUGUCCUUAUUUUGUACGGUACCUCAGGAAUAAGGAACGGCUAACUCCGUGCCAGCAGCCGCGGU